Molecule: long non-coding RNA, 217 nt
Organism: Ornithodoros turicata
Lineage: Eukaryota; Metazoa; Arthropoda; Arachnida; Ixodida; Argasidae
Exons: 3
Source: RefSeq, a predicted model, not a curated record
UGCUUCAUGAUAUCCCCUCAGUUCAGCCUCGAGGGAGUACGAAGCCUUCAGGCUCCUUGGUGGGAGUGUCCUUGGGCCGUCCUUUCAUGAGCCUCCAAGGUCCAGCGUCUUCGUGAGAGCCCCUCAGUCCAGGGUCCAGGGAGUCCGCCGUCCUCAGGCUACUCCCUGGGUCUGUUCCCGAGCCUGGCUACUCUGCAGACUCCGAGCUCCAGCUGCU